CAGUAGCUAAGCGGAUAACGCGAUGGCGUUUGGAGCAAAAGGUACUGGGUUCGAGUCCCAGAGUGAA
This 67-nucleotide transfer RNA is filed under the name Schistosoma mansoni. The record is from RNAcentral. Lineage: Eukaryota; Metazoa; Platyhelminthes; Trematoda; Strigeidida; Schistosomatidae.